Molecule: long non-coding RNA, 402 nt
Filed under: Rattus norvegicus (Norway rat)
Lineage: Eukaryota; Metazoa; Chordata; Mammalia; Rodentia; Muridae
Description: long non-coding RNA NONRATT021480
Source: RNAcentral
UGAAAUUGGUUUGUGGUCAUAUUAUAUCAAGAGAUGCCCUGAAUAAAAUGUUUAAUGGUAGCAAAUUAAAGUGUCCAUAUUGCCCAAUGGAACAGAGUCCAGGAGAUGCCAAACAGAUAUUUUUCUGAAGAAUGAGUUUGUUUGCAAUUUGUCUCUUCAUUUAAUGCACUGCCCAUAAAGAGCCAUGUGUAAGAGUUAUUCUCUGUAUGAGGAACUAAUUACAUGGAAAAGACUUCUGUGGACAUAAUUCUGACUUAAACCCAUGAAAUACUUCAUCUUGAGAAGAGUGCUGUGUGGAAAUCACCAAAUAACUCACAACCUUAUUUCAUCUGAUGUAGAUCUGAACACCAACAUAUGAAAACUGUCAUAAGAAAAUGAAAAACCAUAAACACAGAAGCAACA